UUUAAGUGCAACCAUGAGUUUCCGUACCCAACUUUGAUCUUUUGUCUUAUUUAAUUUUUUUAUGAUUAGAAUUUUACUGUUAUUAGAUGAUAAAACAUAAAUAGUAUUUUAUGUGUGAUUUUUGUUUUAAUUUUUUUAAAUUUUUUAAAUAAGACGGACGAUUAAAGUUGGACAGAAAAAACAACUUAAA
This is a non-coding RNA of Oryza meridionalis, 190 nucleotides long. NCBI's taxonomy places the organism in Eukaryota, Viridiplantae, Streptophyta, Magnoliopsida, Poales, Poaceae. The record is from Rfam.